CAGUCGCCGCGGUAAUACGUAGGUCCCGAGCGUUGUCCGGAUUUAUUGGGCGUAAAGCGAGCGCAGGCGGUUAGAUAAGUCUGAGGUUAAAGGCUGUGGCUUAACCAUAGUACGCUUUGGAAACUGUUUAACUUGAGUGCAGAAGGGGAGAGUGGAAUUCCAUGUGUAGCGGUGAAAUGCGUAGAUAUAUGGAGGAACACCGGUGGCGAAAGCGGCUCUCUGGUCUGUAACUGACGCUGAGGCUCGAAAGCGUGGGGAGCAAACAGGAUUAGAUACCCGCGUAGUCCCUGUCUCUUAUACA
RNAcentral lists this ribosomal RNA (301 nucleotides) under uncultured bacterium. Its description in RNAcentral is "partial 16S ribosomal RNA". It matches the Rfam family "Bacterial small subunit ribosomal RNA", at positions 509 to 808 of the family's 1533-position model. The record is from RNAcentral.